RNAcentral lists this ribosomal RNA (394 nucleotides) under uncultured bacterium. RNAcentral describes it as "bacterial SSU rRNA". It matches the Rfam family "Bacterial small subunit ribosomal RNA", at positions 29 to 428 of the family's 1533-position model. The record is from RNAcentral.
AUUGAACGCUGGCGGCAUGCCUUACACAUGCAAGUCGAACGGUAACGCGGGGCAACCUGGCGACGAGUGGCGAACGGGUGAGUAAUAUAUCGGAACGUGCCCAGUAGUGGGGGAUAGCCCGGCGAAAGCCGGAUUAAUACCGCAUACGACCUACGGGUGAAAGGCGGGGGAUCGCAAGACCUCGCGCUAUUGGAGCGGCCGAUAUCAGAUUAGGUAGUUGGUGGGGUAAAGGCCUACCAAGCCUACGAUCUGUAGCUGGUCUGAGAGGACGACCAGCCACACUGGGACUGAGACACGGCCCAGACUCCUACGGGAGGCAGCAGUGGGAAUUUUGGACAAUGGGCGCAAGCCUGAUCCAGCCAUGCCGCGUGCGGGAAGAAGGCCUCGGUUGUAA